UGCCAGCAGCCGCGGUAAUACGGAGGGUGCUAGCGUUGUUCGGAAUUACUGGGCGUAAAGCGCGCGUAGGCGGCUUGGUAAGUUGGGAGUGAAAUCCCGAGGCUCAACCUCGGAAUUGCUCUCAAAACUGCUGAGCUAGAGUAUGGUAGGGGACAGUGGAAUUCUUAGUGUAGGGGUGAAAUCCGUAGAUAUUAAGAGGAACACCAGAGGCGAAGGCGACUGUCUGGGCCAUUACUGACGCUAAGGCGCGAAAGCGUGGGGAGCAAACAGGAUUAGAUA
RNAcentral lists this ribosomal RNA (279 nucleotides) under uncultured bacterium. RNAcentral describes it as "partial 16S ribosomal RNA". It matches the Rfam family "Bacterial small subunit ribosomal RNA", at positions 506 to 784 of the family's 1533-position model. The record is from RNAcentral.